UACGUAGGGCGCAAGCGUUGUCCGGAAUUAUUGGGCGUAAAGAGCUCGUAGGCGGUCUGUUACGUCCGCUGUGAAAACCCAGGGCUUAACCCUGGGCUUGCAGUGGAUACGGGUAGACUAGAGGCAGGUAGGGGAGAAUGGAAUUCCUGGUGUAGCGGUGAAAUGCGCAGAUAUCAGGAGGAACACCGAUGGCGAAGGCAGGUCUCUGGGCCACUACUGACGCUGAGAAGCGAAAGCAUGGGGAGCGAACAGG
RNAcentral lists this ribosomal RNA (253 nucleotides) under uncultured bacterium. RNAcentral describes it as "partial 16S ribosomal RNA". It matches the Rfam family "Bacterial small subunit ribosomal RNA", at positions 524 to 776 of the family's 1533-position model. The record is from RNAcentral.